RNAcentral lists this ribosomal RNA (283 nucleotides) under Microlunatus phosphovorus. RNAcentral's name for it is "partial 16S ribosomal RNA". It matches the Rfam family "Bacterial small subunit ribosomal RNA", at positions 210 to 505 of the family's 1533-position model. Lineage: Bacteria; Bacillati; Actinomycetota; Actinomycetes; Propionibacteriales; Propionibacteriaceae. The record is from RNAcentral.
UUCUGGCGGUCAAGGAUGGGCUCGCGGCCUAUCAGCUAGUUGGUGAGGUAACGGCUCACCAAGGCUUCGACGGGUAGCCGGCCUGAGAGGGCGACCGGCCACACUGGGACUGAGAUACGGCCCAGACUCCUACGGGAGGCAGCAGUGGGGAAUAUUGCACAAUGGGCGAAAGCCUGAUGCAGCAACGCCGCGUGCGGGAUGACGGCCUUCGGGUUGUAAACCGCUUUCAGCUCCGACGAAGCGCAAGUGACGGUAGGAGCAGAAGAAGGACCGGCCAACUACG